AAUAUUGGACAAUGGGGGCAACCCUGUUCCAGCCAUGCCUUGUGUGUGAAGAAGGUCGUCGGUUUGUAAAGCACUUUAAGUUGGGCGGAAGGUCUUUAGGUUAAUCCACUGAAGUUUUGACGUUACCAACAGAAUAAGUACCGGCUAACUCUGUGCCAGCAGCCGCGGUAAUACAGAGGGUGCAAGCGUUAAUCGGAAUUACUGGGCGUAAAGCGCGCGUAGGUGGUUCAGUAAGAUGGGUGUGAAAUCCCCGGGCUUAACCUGGGAACUGCUUUCAUAACUGCUGAGCUAGAGUACGGUAGAGGGUAGUGGAAUUUGCUGUGUAGCGGUGAAAUGCGUAGAUAUAGGAAGGAACACCAGUGGCGAAGGCGACUACCUGGACUGAUACUGACACUGAGGUGCGAAAGCGUGGGGAGCAAAC
RNAcentral lists this ribosomal RNA (421 nucleotides) under uncultured bacterium. Its description in RNAcentral is "partial 16S ribosomal RNA". It matches the Rfam family "Bacterial small subunit ribosomal RNA", at positions 360 to 773 of the family's 1533-position model. The record is from RNAcentral.